RNAcentral lists this ribosomal RNA (778 nucleotides) under uncultured Neocallimastigales. RNAcentral's name for it is "partial large subunit ribosomal RNA". It matches the Rfam family "Eukaryotic large subunit ribosomal RNA", at positions 24 to 649 of the family's 3401-position model. The record is from RNAcentral. Lineage: Eukaryota; Fungi; Neocallimastigomycota; Neocallimastigomycetes; Neocallimastigales.
UAUGUGAUCGUCUCUCGCAUAUCAAUAAGCGGAGGAAAAGAAACUAACAAGGAUUCCCCUAGUAACAGGCGAGUGAAGCGGGAAGAGCUCAAAUUUGAAAUCUUAAAGGGUUUCCCUUUACGAAUUGUAGUUUAAAGAAGUGUUUUCUGUUGAGGUUUUGGUAAAAGUUCUUUGGAAUAGGACAUCAUAGAGGGUGAGAAUCCCGUAUUUGACCUUUACUUUCAACUUUGUGAUACACUUUCAAAGAGUCGGAUUGUUUGGGAAUGCAGUCCAAAAUGGGUGGUAAAUUUCAUCUAAAGCUAAAUAUUGGCGAGAGACCGAUAGCGAACAAGUACCGUGAGGGAAAGAUGAAAAGAACUUUGAAAAGAGAGUUAAACAGUACGUGAAAUUGUCAAAAGGGAAGCGUUUGACACCAGUGUUGUUUUUUCUGAAAAUCAAUUAAAGAACUGUUUAUGCUAAGCUUGUUUAGACUUUAUCAGCUAUCUGUUUAGUUUUGAGCUUUUCUUUAAUGCACUUUUCAGUUAACAAGUCAACAUCAACUUUCUUUUGCUGUAAAAAAGCUCGAGGAAGGUGGCUUGAGAUUCGUCUUAAGUGUUUAUAGCCUCUUGCCUAUGCAGUCGGAGAGAUUGAGGUCUGCAGCGUAGAUCCUUCGGGGCUAAAUGCAUUUGUGCUAAGUUAUAGCAUUUUAUAGACAACUUGUUGACUAUGAUUUGUCUUGUAGCUUACUCGCUUAUGUUAUUUUACCUACGCUUAGGAUGUUGAGUAGCGACAUACGCAC